RNAcentral lists this ribosomal RNA (197 nucleotides) under uncultured Pseudomonadota bacterium. RNAcentral's name for it is "uncultured proteobacterium partial 16S ribosomal RNA". It matches the Rfam family "Bacterial small subunit ribosomal RNA", at positions 335 to 524 of the family's 1533-position model. The record is from RNAcentral. Lineage: Bacteria; Pseudomonadati; Pseudomonadota.
ACUCCUACGGGAGGCAGCAGUGGGGAAUAUUGCACAAUGGGCGCAAGCCUGAUGCAGCCAUGCCGCGUGUGUGAAGAAGGCCUUCGGGNNGUAAAGCACUUUCAGUCGUGAGGAAGGUGGUGUANUUAAUAGCUGCAUUAUUUGACGUUAGCGNNAGAAGAAGCACCGGCUAACUCCGUGCCAGCAGCCGCGGUAAU